ACAGCGUAAUGACAGGAAGUAUGGUGGAGGUGCUUGCAUUUACAGCGUAAUGACAGGAAGUAUGGUGGAGGUGCUUGCAUUUACGGUGUAAUGACAGGAAGUAUGGUGGAGGUGCUUGCAUUUACGGUGUAAUGACGGGAAGUAUGGUGGAGGUGCUUACAUUUACACUGUAAUGACGGGAAGCAUGGUGGAGGUGCUUACAUUUACGCAGUAAUGACGGGAAGUAUGGUGGAGGUGCUUACAUUUACGCAGUAAUGACGGGAAGUAUGGUGGAGGUGCUUACAUUUACGCUGUAAUGACGGGAAGUAUGGUGGAG
Esox lucius (northern pike) is the source of this 316-nucleotide long non-coding RNA. NCBI's taxonomy places the organism in Eukaryota, Metazoa, Chordata, Actinopteri, Esociformes, Esocidae. The record is from Ensembl.